UUCUUUUAAAGGCUUCCGAGAAUGAACUUAUUAAAUUAUCUUCUCAGUUCACUUCGUACAAUCAUUCGAACAACAUCUACUUUCUGCAAUUUUACUAUUCAACGCAGAGGCAGAUUUUUGUCUAGAGACGUUAGUAUUUCGAGAAUCAACGAAAGUGGAGAGCUUUUUAGUGAGCCAACAAGAUGAUUGUAACCGAACGUGAGAGGUAUGUUAGGACAUCCUGUGGUAUGAUCCUGUUGUUGCUGCUGCUGCUGCGGACGGUCAGUGGUGCGAAGAUAGGCACAAAUGGCCAAUCCCAUGGACAGAGAUUUGCAAUGGAACCACAGGAUCAGACGGCAAUUGUUGGAUCACGCGUGACGCUGCCAUGUCGCGUGAUCGACAAAGUUGGCAUGCUUCAGUGGACCAAGGAUGACUUUGGACUGGGCACACAUCGAAAUCUCAGUGGAUUCGAUCGGUACUCAAUGGUGGGCAGUGACGAGGAGGGAGACUAUUCCCUUGACAUCUAUCCCGUUAUGCUGGACGAUGACGCCAAGUAUCAGUGCCAAGUUGGACCAGGAGCAGACGGUCAAUUGGGAAUACGUUCACGUUUUGCCACACUGACAAUUCUGGUGCCACCAGAACCACCAAAAAUAAUUCAAGGUGAUUUUAUGGUGACCACUGAGGAUCGUGAAAUCGAAUUAGAGUGCAUUUCCAUUGGGGGAAAACCUGCGGCCGAGAUUACAUGGAUUGAUGGCUUGGGAAAUGUACUUACAACCGGAAUAGAUUACAUGAAGGAACCAUUGCCGGAUUCGAGGCGCUACACAGCGAAAUCUGUGUUGAAAUUGACACCGAAGAAGGAGCAUCAUAAUACAACAUUCACGUGCCAAGCGCAAAAUACCGCCGAUCGAACAUAUCGAGCGGCUAAAUUGAAAUUGGAGGUGAAAUAUGCACCAAAAGUGUCUGUUUCUGUGAUUGGAGGGGCACUGGCGGGUGGUAGGAUACCUGAGGGAGCGGAAGUACGAUUGUCCUGUCACGCGGAUGCCAAUCCCAGCGAUCUGACGUAUCGAUGGUACAUCAACGAUGAGCUUGUGGUGGGCGACUAUACCACCGAAAUGCUAAUCCACAACAUCACGCGCAAGUUCCACGAUGCCAUUGUUAAAUGUGAGGUCCACAAUGCCGUGGGAAAGAGCGAGGAGAGCGAAACUCUGGAUAUUAGCUACGGACCUGUGUUUAGGACACGACCAAAGUCCGUGGAAGCUGAUAUUGGCACGGAGGUGUCACUGUUCUGUGAUGUGGACGGAAAUCCACCUCCGGAUAUUGUCUGGAUUCAUGAUCCGGCAGAUCGAGUCGUUCGAACUUCAUCGAAUUUCACGACAACAGUGACACAGGAGACCGCCGGUCGGUACUACUGCAAGGCAAGCGUAAUGGGCUUCCCGGAGAUUGGAGCCGAGGCUACAGUGUACCUAAAGGGGCCUCCGGUGAUAUCAUCCCCCCAGCGUCAACAUGGCAUUGUGGGUGAUAAUGCACGUCUGGAGUGUGUAGCAUUUUCCGUGCCAAAGGCCCGGCACGUCUCGUGGACGUUCAAUGGGCGAGAAAUCAACACGAGCAACGACCAGGAUUUCUCAAUUCUCGAGGAUCCUCUGCCCGAAGGCAUUAAAUCUACCCUGAUAAUCCGUGAAAGCCAAUCCCGCCACUUUGGUCGCUACAAUUGCACCGUUGUCAAUGACUAUGGCAAUGAUGUUUUGGAAAUUGACCUCCUUCCACAAACGAUAGCACCAUCCCUAAUAAUUAUCGUGUGUGUGGGACUUUCGGUGGCGAUAACAAUUCUCGUCGUCAUCUUCCUCUGCAUCUUCCUCAAGCGAGGCAAGAAAAAGCUACCACCUGCUGAUGUUAUUCCUGAGCACCAUAUCUCGGAGAAGGGUUGCAAAGAAAGUGACCGCUCAUCCAAUAUCAGUGACCUCAAAGUUGACAUUCGGUCUGGAUCGUGCGAACCGGAUUAUUCAGAAACGUGUUCAGGAUCCGACAGUAUCGCCACGAGAUUAGCAGCCAACAUUCUGGGAUCAACUCAAACGGCUUCGGCAGGAGGGGGUGGGGUCCCUCUUGCCGGUCCCGUCAAGAUCCCCAACGAUUACAGGUACUCCGGAGAUUACACGGAUCCAUUGGGGCACUUGCAACAGUUGAAGUCUGGCCAGAACAACAAUGGCUAUGUACCUUAUGUGGAUUAUGCACGAGAUUACAGUCCACCACCGCAGACUCUAACAGCAAUUAGAACAUCGAGCGCUGCCAUGAACGGCCAAUUGCCAACUGGUGGCAAUUUCAGUUUGAAUCGUCAUAGAACGACAGAGCUUCGCCAAGAUAAUGGACUACCGAGUGUCCAGAAUAGUCUGAAUUCGCUACCCAAUGGUUUUCUCGGGCAAUCCCUUCUGCAGAAUGGCCUGAGCAUAGAUCCGCGAUACAGUGCGACGUACGGCAAUCCAUAUCUGCGUACAUCGAAUGCCUCCCUCCCACCUCUACCGCCGCCCAGUACGGCCAAUCCAGCGGCCACUCCGGCGCCUCCGCCCUACAAUGCUGCCACCCGGAUCUCCCAGGCCACCCCGCCCACAACCACCACCUCAGGCUCUAGCGGAAUCAGUCUGGGCAGUGUAGGGAGCCUGGGUAGUGGUAGCACCACCACCCUCCUGCCCACCCAGGUCUCUGCCAGCCCCUCAGGCCAGUUCAUCUUGCCUGCUAAUGGGAACCUCAAGAAGACAGGCGCCCUUGCGACGCACGUCUAAGCCCGGCCCGAGGGCAUCAUGUGAUGAUGGCCCAAGAGCCAAAGUAAAGUGGUUUAAAUUAUGUGUCAAAGACAAUACAAAGGUCUACUUGUAAGGUCCCCCUCUUUCUCCCUAAGACUUUAGUGCUCUAAGAAUUUAACAGAAAAAAAGGUGCAAAUAUGUAACAUCAACGACAGUGAAAGGUUACAAGGUGGCUCACUCCAAACAUCAAUGGGAUGAAUUAAGCAUAAACGUGAAUUGACAAAGUGCAUUGAUGACAGAAGAACGAGUAUAUUUGCAUUAUGCAUUUUCAAUUGAUAUUUCUCUAGAUGAUAAAUUGAUAUGAAUUAAUAUCAUGAGGGAUUUUGCAAUCUCAGAAAGUGAGAAAAAAAUGUAUUUUGCAUAGUGAUUUAAAACGAAAGAAAAAAAAAUGAAUUAUCGUGUGUGCUUAUGGAUUAAGGUAAUGUAAAGUAUAAUAAAACUAUUUGUAAGUACGAUGUAAUGUGAAUUUGUAUAUAAAUGAGGAUUAUCGUGUGGCCUUAAUAUUAUGUAAAUUAAAUCAAUUCUGCCAAGAAAAUUGAAAAUGUAUUAAUUAUGCGUGUUGAUAUGAGAUUAUCAUUUGAAUCACAAUGAUAGUGAAUUGAUAUAUUCAUCGAAAUUUUAUGUUAAAAUUGAUGAAGUGUCUCUCCCUUUAAGAAAAUUUAUGAGAAAAAUAUUCAUCGGGAGAUAUCCGUAACAAAAAAGCUAUAUUAAAAGAAUUUUACAAAUGCAGUUUUAUAAAAAAAAAAGAUAAAAGUAUCAUUUCUAGCAAAGCUCGCAUUUUCUGUGCUGUAUUUGUCUCAGUAAAUUCUUUGCUUAUAAUCUUACAAUAGACGAAAAAUGUUUGCAAUCCCUCCAUGUAAACAUUUUCUCUCCCCACAGUGAAAAAAAAGCUCCAUAAACAUUUCAAAUGAGAGAUCCACAAACAAUUUUUGAAAGAACUAUUAACAAUAUUUACCGUAGUUUUUCCCACAAGUAUUUACGUGGCCUUUGCAGAAAAAAAAAUUACGAAAAAGUAUUUAAACUACAAUUUGAUGAGUAGAAAUGAAAAGAGGAUAUAUUAAAUUUGUUGUUUUUUCUUUUAAUAAAAAAAAUAUUCUAUCAAAGGACAAAAUAUUCUAGUAUAUUUUUUCCUUUUCCAAAGAGAGAUAAAAGCCAUAUUUUUCUCAUCUAAACAACUAUUUAAAUAAAUUUCCCAUUAUGUUUUUCUUUUUUGGGAAUAUAAAUUUAAAAAAAGUGAAAAGAAAAAUUGUUAGAUGUAUACCCAUUCUAAAUGAACUUUCACCUUCUUGUCUAAAUCAAUAGAAAAAUUUUUCAAACAAAAAAAAUCUGUAAAUAGUAUAGAAAAAGAAACGACUAAGGAAUUAAAUGAAUUUAGGAGAAAAAAUCUUAUUGCCUCCUUCAGGCCUGUUCUAAAUAAAUGAAAAAAAGAAAAAUUUUGUUGUGAUUCUCGCAUUAACAAAAAAAAAGGUAGAACGAUGACGAUUCAUCUGUAAGAUAGUCUCAUAUUAAAAAAAAGAAAUGAAGAAGAAAUUGUAAAAAGAAAUCUCUAUAAAUUAUCAUC
Phlebotomus papatasi is the source of this 4335-nucleotide RNA transcript. It is a transcript of the gene named irregular chiasm C-roughest protein-like, with no coding region annotated. The record is from RefSeq and is a predicted model, not a curated record. NCBI's taxonomy places the organism in Eukaryota, Metazoa, Arthropoda, Insecta, Diptera, Psychodidae. The transcript has 12 exons.